Molecule: ribosomal RNA, 503 nt
Filed under: uncultured bacterium
Lineage: Bacteria
Description: partial 16S ribosomal RNA
Rfam family: Bacterial small subunit ribosomal RNA
Source: RNAcentral
AUUGAACGCUGGCGGCAGGCUUAACACAUGCAAGUCGAGCGGGGUGAUGGUGCUUGCACUAUCACUUAGCGGCGGACGGGUGAGUAAUGCUUAGGAAUCUGCCUAUUAGUGGGGGACAACAUCUCGAAAGGGAUGCUAAUACCGCAUACGUCCUACGGGAGAAAGCAGGGGAUCACUUGUGACCUUGCGCUAAUAGAUGAGCCUAAGUCGGAUUAGCUAGUUGGUGGGGUAAAGGCCUACCAAGGCGACGAUCUGUAGCGGGUCUGAGAGGAUGAUCCGCCACACUGGGACUGAGACACGGCCCAGACUCCUACGGGAGGCAGCAGUGGGGAAUAUUGGACAGUGGGGGGAACCCUGACCCAGCCAUGCCGCGUGUGUGAAGAAGGCCUUAUGGUUGUAAAGCACUUUGAGCGAGGAGGAGGCUCUUUUGGUUAAUACCCAAGAUGAGUGGACGUUACUCGCAGAAUAAGCACCGGCUAACUCUGUGCCAGCAGCCGCCGUGA